This 2369-nucleotide long non-coding RNA is filed under the name Chinchilla lanigera (long-tailed chinchilla). Its description in RNAcentral is "lncRNA (ENSCLAG00000025603.1)". Lineage: Eukaryota; Metazoa; Chordata; Mammalia; Rodentia; Chinchillidae. The record is from RNAcentral.
AAAGCAAUAAAUCUUUCUACAAUCUGCUUCCAUUGAGAAAAUCAUACUUAUUGAUGAUAAAAUACCUGCCUGAAGAAGAUUAAAUGGAUAACUGUUUGCCAAGCAGCGAGCUUUAUUUUUGUCACCUUUUGGCACUAUAAUUGUAUUCUCAUUUUUCUCUUCCUUACUUUUCUGAAUGUUAUUUAUAAUUUUUUUAAAUCACACUUUUAAAUGUCAAUUCAAGUUAUGCAUAACCCAAUUACUCAUCAGAAGAGGUGUAGUGUUCAGCCCCUCUUAAGGAAAGAUCAGACUGCAUUAAGCAUGAACUCUCCUUUCUUUUCCUAGGAUUUUAAUGUUUGCUUCUGCCAUCUAUAUUUUCACUCUCCAACCUCCAAGAUGUAUUUAAGGUACAAAAUGUGCUCUGCCAAGGUGGCUACACCCGAUUCUCCAAGGGUGACAACCAUGCUUGAAGGUGCCAAGUUUCCCGGCCGUGGGAUCGCAGUUAAGAAAUAUCACCGUCUGUUCACAUCCUGCCUGAGACGCACACUCCACUUGGGGCUGCUGCGGCUGCAAAUGGUCUCGGUUAGCAGGACCGCGUGGUUCUGUUUCUUCCUGUACAGUGUCACAGCACAAAAUGGGCAUCGUUUGUAGGGCUGCACACAUUUUCCUCAGCCCUAGUUUUGAUUCUCUUGAGCAGGAUGUUGGCUCUCUUCGGUGUGAGUAAUGAGCAAUUCUGCUUCCAAGUGCUUCUAGGAAGAAAGACUGGCUAUAUUUCCCCCCAUGAAGAAGCCAAUUCUAGGAACUAUGGCACAAUAGAAGCUGAAAUUUUCUAAGCCCCGCCUAUAGACACACAGUGUACUUACCUGCAUUUGAAACAUCAUCUUGAUUAUUUAUGCCAUUACUUCAAAAUAGGUACUAUACCAUUGUCUUACAAAUGAGGAUACUAAAGCUCAGAGGACAUGUGUGAUUUUCUUAAACAACUACUAAUUAGAAGCCUGUCAUUUCUCCCACCUGUCUCUGAUUCAGCCUCUCUGUAUCAUGCUGAGCACGAAGGCGCAUUGUCAGGAAUGUACAGUGAACACUCGUGUACUAAUGAUUUUGGUGUUAAUGAAAUUUGACGCAAAUUAACCGGUUUAUACAGAUAGCAUUUUGAUUUUACUAUAAUUAUUACCAUAAUAUAUUUACUUAUUUGUUAUUUUGUGGACUUUUAUUAGUACAUAUUUGAAGUACACAAUGAUUACAUUCACUAUAGGGAACUGGAGCAGGUAUAUAGCACAUUUUAAAACAUUAUUUAUCUAUAACCACAUAGUAACUGUAAACCUAAUAAAACUAAUUACUUCAUCUCCUUCCCUCAGAAAACAGGGGCACAUAUUUGGAAAUUUAAGUUGUUCCCUUCUGUGAUUGUGAGGAUGCCCCACGGAAGGUGAUUAGGAGGCAGAAUAGGAAACCAGAGAGUUUGCAUAAGCCAGGGAAUCAUGCAGUGCUGCCUUCAAAAUCCGCCUUAAAGGCUCAUGGCUAGAAUGAAAUUGUCUUUGCGAAAACAGAGACAUGUAACCCACAGAACUGCUAUGAUGACUGAAUGUAAAAGAAUGAGAAAUGGUUGGUGAAUUGUAAAACAUUACAAAUGUCUUAGUUUAUUCACUAAGAAUGCUGCACAAAUGGUUGCUGGAGGUGGUGAUGGUGGAUUUGCUUUUUAGUUUUUAACUCACAAUAGUUGCUCUUUUCAGGACAUUCAGAUAGCUCUUUGUUAGGUAAUUUUUCGAAAACUGUACAAUGGAAACAUUUGUCUUUUCCAUUUAUAGAGAUAAUUGCUGUUUUCUAAUCAGGCUUGUGAGAAUAUAAGGGAUGUUUCCUAGCUUUGGUGGAGUCACUAUCUCAGCUCUUCCCUUUGGUUCCCAUUUUCCUCUGUAAAUUUUCACAUCAUCUUCAAACUUUUAUUACACUGAUGUGCUUUUUUUUUAUUUACUCACUGAACUGUGAACUCCAUAAAAAUAGUAACUGGUGUUUAUGUCUUUAUACCUAAAGCAUGUAAUGCACUGGCCCAUGGAAAGCACUCAGUAAAUGUAUGUUGCUAAAUGCAUGGUUUUUUUCUAAAUAUACCAAAGAAAUUUUUGUUAUACACUGGGAAUUCCACUGAGAUUUCUUAAAAUAUUUUAUUUAUAAGUAUACAUAAAGUAUGACUUUAAAAUUGAUUUAUACAGACAUUAAUAUUCCAAAGUAACACUUAUAUGUAGGUGCUCAGUAUAAUCUGAAGAAAUAUUUUGUGGACUGUUAUAUAAGCAUCAGCUGGAGAAGGACUUUCAGCAUUUUCCUUCAUAAGAUACAUUACUAGAAAUCAUUUUUUGUGUGCUUUUCAAGUGUUUUGAAUAAAGACCAAUCUUACACCAAGU